GUGUUAGCUUGCUUUCUGUUUACACUGUGGAAUAUCAUCUUGCCUCUGGUUUGUCUUGUGUGCUAACUGUUUCUCUUUUUAAGCGAGUAUACUACGAUCCAUCGAGCAACCUUGGUUACCACAGCGAGCAGGAUGCAGUUCAUGGCCUGACCUGAUGGUAGAGCGGAGAAUGGGAAGUGGGGACCUGACAAGAGCUGAGAUGAUAGAGCUGGAUAAAGAAGGACGCGGUCUCUUGACAUGUCUUCACCACAAAAUUUCAAAUGCUAUUAGAUUAUUAAUGAUAAUCUUAAACUAUAAUUUAUUUUAUUAUUAAGUUUAUUUAUUUUAUUUAGCCUUGUUGUGCAAGCUCUCUGGAGCUUGUGCAGAGGCAGCAGCUUUUGCCAGAGGGGAACUGGAAUCCCCUGGUUGGGCCUGGGUUCUCCUGAGGUUUUUUUUCUCGAUUAGAGUUUUGGGUUCCUCGCCACCGUUUGCAUACUGUUUUUGCACUAUCUGCCUGACCGGGGGGGCUGCUUUAGAAUCUUAAAGUUUUACUUAAUUAAUAUUGCAUAUAGGAAUUUAUUAUCUGUUAUAUUUGACCUGUGCUUCUCUCUCCUUUAUCCUAAAUGUGUGCUCUCACUGAGCGUGUGUGUGUGUGCGUACUUGUCUGUGUACGUACGUGUGUGUGUGUGUGUGUGUGUGUGUGUGUGUCUCUGUGUCUGUGUGUGUUGGUGCGUGUUGUGUGUGUGGAGUGUUUUGUGUGUGGGUGUGUCUGUCUUCUGUGUUUUCAACCUUUUCUUGUUUUUGCAGGUACAACUUUGAUUGUUUUGCUUGUAGUCAAUGUGUCUCCUGUACAGCUGCUUUGUAACAAUGAAAAUUGUAAAAGCGCUAUAUAAAUAAAGUUGAGUUGAGAGUUGA
Triplophysa rosa is the source of this 894-nucleotide long non-coding RNA. RefSeq lists it as uncharacterized. The record is from RefSeq and is a predicted model, not a curated record. The transcript has 2 exons. NCBI's taxonomy places the organism in Eukaryota, Metazoa, Chordata, Actinopteri, Cypriniformes, Nemacheilidae.